UGGGGAAUAUUGCACAAUGGGGGAGCCCUGAUGCAGCGACGCCGCGUGAGCGAAGAAGUAUUUCGGUAUGUAAAGCUCUAUCAGCAGGGAAGAAAAUGACGGUACCUGACUAAGAAGCCCCGGCUAACUACGUGCCAGCAGCCGCGGUAAUACGUAGGGGCGAAGCGUUAUCCGGAUUUACUGGGUGUAAAGGGAGCGUAGACGGCGAUACAAGUCUGAAGUGAAAGCCCGGCGUAUCACUGGGAACUGCUUUGGAAACUGUACUGCUAGAGUGCUGGAGAGGUAAGCGGAAUUCCUAGUGUAGCGGUGAAAUGCGUAGAUAUUAGGAGGAACACCAGUGGCGAAGGCGGCUUACUGGACAGUAACUGACGUUGAGGCUCGAAAGCGUGGGGAGCAACAGGAUUAGAUACC
RNAcentral lists this ribosomal RNA (411 nucleotides) under uncultured bacterium. Its description in RNAcentral is "bacterial SSU rRNA". It matches the Rfam family "Bacterial small subunit ribosomal RNA", at positions 355 to 786 of the family's 1533-position model. The record is from RNAcentral.